AUACGUAGGGUGCGAGCGUUGUCCGGAAUUACUGGGCGUAAAGAGCUCGUAGGUGGUUUGUCGCGUCGUCUGUGACAUUCCGGGGCUUAACUCCGGGCGUGCAGGCGAUACGGGCAUAACUUGAGUACUGUAGGGGAGACUGGAAUUCCUGGUGUAGCGGUGAAAUGCGCAGAUAUCAGGAGGAACACCGGUGGCGAAGGCGGGUCUCUGGGCAGUAACUGACGCUGAGGAGCGAAAGCAUGGGUAGCGAACAGGAUUAGAUACCCUGGUAGUCCAUGCCGUAAACGGUGGGCGCUAGGUGUAGGGGUCUUCCACGACUUCUGUGCCGUAGCUAACGCAUUAAGCGCCCCGCCUGGGGAGUACGGCCGCAAGGCUAAAACUCAAAUGAAUUGACGGGG
This 398-nucleotide ribosomal RNA is filed under the name uncultured bacterium. RNAcentral's name for it is "partial 16S ribosomal RNA". It matches the Rfam family "Bacterial small subunit ribosomal RNA", at positions 523 to 918 of the family's 1533-position model. The record is from RNAcentral.